GAUGAACGCUGGCGGCGUGCCUAAUACAUGCAAGUCGAGCGAACGGACGAGAAGCUUGCUUCUCUGAUGUUAGCGGCGGACGGGGGAGUAACACGUGGAUAACCUACCUAUAAGACUGGGAUAACUUCGGGAAACCGGAGCUAAUACCGGAUAAUAUUUUGAACCGCAUGGUUAAAAAGUGAAAGACGGUCUUGCUGUCACUUAUAGAUGGAUCCGCGCUGCAUUAGCUAGUUGGUAAGGUAACGGCUUACCAAGGCAACGAUGCAUAGCCGACCUGAGAGGGUGAUCGGCCACACUGGAACUGAGACACGGUCCAGACUCCUACGGGAGGCAGCAGUAGGGAAUCUUCCGCAAUGGGCGAAAGCCUGACGGAGCAACGCCGCGUGAGUGAUGAAGGUCUUCGGAUCGUAAAACUCUGUUAUUAGGGAAGAACAUAUGUGUAAGUAACUGUGCACAUCUUGACGGUACCUAAUCAGAAAGCCACGGCUAACUACGUG
This 497-nucleotide ribosomal RNA is filed under the name uncultured bacterium. Its description in RNAcentral is "partial 16S ribosomal RNA". It matches the Rfam family "Bacterial small subunit ribosomal RNA", at positions 28 to 507 of the family's 1533-position model. The record is from RNAcentral.